GACGAACGCUGGCGGCGUGCUUAACACAUGCAAGUCGAACGGAAAGGCCCUGCUUUUGUGGGGUGCUCGAGUGGCGAACGGGUGAGUAACACGUGAGUAACCUGCCCUUGACUUUGGGAUAACUUCAGGAAACUGGGGCUAAUACCGGAUAGGAGCUCCUGCUGCAUGGUGGGGGUUGGAAAGUUUCGGCGGUUGGGGAUGGACUCGCGGCUUAUCAGCUUGUUGGUGGGGUAGUGGCUUACCAAGGCUUUGACGGGUAGCCGGCCUGGGAGGGUGACCGGCGACAUGGGGACUGAGAUACGGCCCAGACUCCUACGGGAGGCAGCAGUGGGGAAUAUUGCACAAUGGGCGGAAGCCUGAUGCAGCAACGCCGCGUGCGGGAUGACGGCCUUCGGGUUGUAAACCGCUUUCGCCUGUGACGAAGCGGGAGUGACGGUAAUGGGUAAAGAAGCACCGGCUAACUACGUG
RNAcentral lists this ribosomal RNA (468 nucleotides) under uncultured bacterium. RNAcentral's name for it is "partial 16S ribosomal RNA". It matches the Rfam family "Bacterial small subunit ribosomal RNA", at positions 28 to 507 of the family's 1533-position model. The record is from RNAcentral.